Molecule: ribosomal RNA, 292 nt
Filed under: Ralstonia solanacearum
Lineage: Bacteria; Pseudomonadati; Pseudomonadota; Betaproteobacteria; Burkholderiales; Burkholderiaceae
Description: partial 16S subunit of ribosomal RNA
Rfam family: Bacterial small subunit ribosomal RNA
Source: RNAcentral
AUGCCUUACACAUGCAAGUCGAACGGCAGCGGGGGUAGCUUGCUACCUGCCGGCGAGUGGCGAACGGGUGAGUAAUACAUCGGAACGUGCCCUGUAGUGGGGGAUAACUAGUCGAAAGACUGGCUAAUACCGCAUACGACCUGAGGGUGAAAGUGGGGGACCGCAAGGCCUCAUGCUAUAGGAGCGGCCGAUGUCUGAUUAGCUAGUUGGUGGGGUAAAGGCCUACCAAGGCGACGAUCAGUAGCUGGUCUGAGAGGACGAUCAGCCACACUGGGACUGAGACACGGCCCAG